This 490-nucleotide ribosomal RNA is filed under the name uncultured bacterium. Its description in RNAcentral is "partial 16S ribosomal RNA". It matches the Rfam family "Bacterial small subunit ribosomal RNA", at positions 30 to 507 of the family's 1533-position model. The record is from RNAcentral.
AUUGAACGCUGGCGGCAGGCCUAACACAUGCAAGUCGAACGGUAACAGGAAGACGCUUGCUUCUUUGCUGACGAGUGGCGGACGGGUGAGUAAUGUCUGGGAAACUGCCUGAUGGAGGGGGAUAACUACUGGAAACGGUAGCUAAUACCGCAUAACGUCGCAAGACCAAAGAGGGGGACCUUCGGGCCUCUUGCCAUCGGAUGUGCCCAGAUGGGAUUAGCUAGUAGGUGGGGUAACGGCUCACCUAGGCGACGAUCCCUAGCUGGUCUGAGAGGAUGACCAGCCACACUGGAACUGAGACACGGUCCAGACUCCUACGGGAGGCAGCAGUGGGGAAUAUUGCACAAUGGGCGCAAGCCUGAUGCAGCCAUGCCGCGUGUAUGAAGAAGGACUUCGGGUUGUAAAGUACUUUCAGCGGGGAGGAAGGGAGUAAAGUUAAUACCUUGGCUCAUUGACGUUACCCGCAGAAGAAGCACCGGCUAACUCCGUG